CCUUCAACUAAUCAAGAAGAACAACAAUCAAAAAGUGGUUAUAACUAACUCUCAACAAACUUGAGAGCAAAGGGAACAAGAACCAAACAAGUAGUGCCAACUAAUUGACACCACUCCCUAUGUGCCACCCACCCUCUUUUUGGCUCCUAAGGAGGACGCCAAGAGAGAGAAGAGGCAUGGACUAGAGAGAGGAAGAGAAGGAGAGGCAUGGGCCCAGUGAAAGGUGGCAGCAAGGUG
RNAcentral lists this long non-coding RNA (237 nucleotides) under Elaeis guineensis (African oil palm). Its description in RNAcentral is "long non-coding RNA (EGUI_LNC039702)". Lineage: Eukaryota; Viridiplantae; Streptophyta; Magnoliopsida; Arecales; Arecaceae. The record is from RNAcentral.